CGCUUCGAGGAGGCGAAAGCGCUCGCGGCGGCGGCGGGGGGAAAAGGAGACCGGAGGGGGGGGGGCGUGUGCGCGUAUGAAAAGCGGAGGAAGCGAAGAAAGUGUUCCAGCUCUGUGAUCUGUGCGUGCACCGCCGCCACUGUUGUGAGCGCGCCAGGCUGAAGAUCGUUGCGAAAGUGACCUGAGCAGGCUCGGGAGGGAGAAGCGCGAGGGAAAAAAGCGAGUCCGCCUGUGCGAGCCGAGCCUUUUCCAGCUGCCCAGGGCACCCGAAAGACAAGAGAUGGGGACUCGGCGCAUCGGAGGGGGGUGAAAACGAGGGGAGGGGGUGGGCGAGGAGUGUGCCGGGGUGGGAGGCAACACAUGCCGAGCACAAUCAGGGAUGGGACCCACGUCUGCAGCUGCACCUGGACCUGCUGCUCGUCAGGAGGGAGAAACAACAAGCAAGAAAAGAAGAAAUUAAGAGAAGGGGGGCCGAGUGGCGAACUCGCCAGCAUCAGUCUUAAUUUAUACACUCCUUCGGAGAAGUCCGUUCUUCGCCAGCCGAGGGAUUAAAUAAUAAUAAAAGCCUAGGCGCAGACGUUCGGGCAAUUGCACAAAGAUCCGGAAAGAAGUCUAGAAAUUUUUUUAAAAAAGAAACAGAAACGCGCACACAGGGCUUGCUGGAUUUUGCACAGAGCGGCCAUCUCAGCUGGAAGCAAUUCUUCGGAUUUUUUUUUUUUUAAAUGCAUCUAUGGAGUUACUUUGUAUCUACUCCUGAAAGGGGAGGGUAUCAUCUUCGGAUCCUGCGAGGGGGGGUCGUUCUCGCCCUCCGCAAUGGUACCGGGUUGAUCUUUGCAAAGGGAGAUUCCGUAAGCGUUGCCAUUUCUGGAGCAUCUCUCGCUUACCCCUCUCUGGUAGCCCGACGAACAUUCUCAACUCUUGGGAGGACGCUCUCUCCCAGCAAAGCAGAGGGCCUGCUGUUCAGCUUGGAAACUGCUGUAGGCUGAAAUAAACAGGCAUAAAAUUGAAAAUUCCCCCAAAGAAAAAUGCAGUGAAAUGCAACCAAGAGGUGAAAGUGACUGAAAACAAGAUUAAACAUAUCAAGCAUCAUAUUAAUAAAGACCAACUGAUGAAAUAAUAUACACAAUCAGAUUCAAGCAUCACAUGAAACAUUGAACCAUGUGGACUUUGUAAGAAAUACUUCAUCCACAUUCAGUAAUUUUUACUUUACGUUGAUAUGUUUUCAAUUUCCAUUCAGGUUUCAGGAAAUUUGAAU
Molecule: long non-coding RNA, 1255 nt
Filed under: Pseudonaja textilis
Lineage: Eukaryota; Metazoa; Chordata; Lepidosauria; Squamata; Elapidae
Description: lncRNA (ENSPTXG00000007486.1)
Source: RNAcentral